This 233-nucleotide long non-coding RNA is filed under the name Phoenix dactylifera (date palm). RNAcentral's name for it is "long non-coding RNA (PDAC_LNC010218)". Lineage: Eukaryota; Viridiplantae; Streptophyta; Magnoliopsida; Arecales; Arecaceae. The record is from RNAcentral.
GUUGAUUAUAUUAAAGCUGAUUAACUCUAAAGCAUUAUCAUGAAGUAUGUUCUUAAAGUAUCUCCCAGACUUUGUAUUUGCUCUUUGUGGUAGUUUGUAUUUCUUCUCUAAAACAUAGUGCUUUUGGCAUAGACAAUGUUUCUCUUGAGUUAUGAUCUUUGUGAUUGUCAUUACAAUGCUAUCCAUUUCAUUGUUAUUCAUUCUUUUUGAUGAUAACAAAAAGGGGGAGAAAA